RNAcentral lists this ribosomal RNA (1039 nucleotides) under uncultured bacterium. RNAcentral describes it as "bacterial SSU rRNA". It matches the Rfam family "Bacterial small subunit ribosomal RNA", at positions 1 to 996 of the family's 1533-position model. The record is from RNAcentral.
UUAGAGUUUGAUCCUGGCUCAGGACGAACGCUGGCGGCGUGCCUAAUACAUGCAAGUCGAACGCGUCUUGGUUAAUGAUGUUAGGUGCUUGCAUUUAACUGAUUUAACAUUGAGACGAGUGGCGAACUGGUGAGUAACACGUGGGUAACCUGCCCUGAAGUGGGGGAUAACACUUGGAAACAGGUGCUAAUACCGCAUAACAACGAAAACCACAUGGUUUUCGUUUGAAAGAUGGCUUCGGCUGUCACUUUCGGAUGGACCCGCGGCGUAUUAGCUUGUUGGUGAGGUAACGGCUCACCAAGGCCAUGAUACGUAGCCGACCUGAGAGGGUAAUCGGCCACAUUGGGACUGAGACACGGCCCAAACUCCUACGGGAGGCAGCAGUAGGGAAUCUUCCACAAUGGACGAAAGUCUGAUGGAGCAACGCCGCGUGAGUGAUGAAGGGUUUCGGCUCGUAAAACUCUGUUGUUGGAGAAGAACAGGUGAUAGAGUAACUGUUAUCAUCUUGACGGUAUCCAACCAGAAAGCCACGGCUAACUACGUGCCAGCAGCCGCGGUAAUACGUAGGUGGCAAGCGUUGUCCGGAUUUAUUGGGCGUAAAGCGAGCGCAGGCGGUUUUUUAGGUCUGAUGUGAAAGCCUUCGGCUUAACCGGAGAAGGGCAUCGGAAACCGGGAGACUUGAGUGCAGAAGAGGACAGUGGAACUCCAUGUGUAGCGGUGAAAUGCGUAGAUAUAUGGAAGAACACCAGUGGCUAAGGCGGCUGUCUGGUCUGUAACUGACGCUGAGGCUCGAAAGCAUGGGUAGCGAACAGGAUUAGAUACCCUGGUAGUCCAUGCCGUAAACGAUGAGUGCUAAGUGUUUGGAGGGUCUCCGCCCUUCAGUGCUGCAGCUAACGCAUUAAGCACUCCGCCUGGGGGAGUACGACCGCAAGGUUGAACUCAAAAGGGAAUUGACGGGGGCCCGCACAAGCGGUGGAACCAUGUGGGUUUAAUUCGAUGCAACGCGAAGAACCUCACCAGGUCUUGACAUCCUAUGCCA